Cinara cedri is the source of this 549-nucleotide non-coding RNA. Lineage: Eukaryota; Metazoa; Arthropoda; Insecta; Hemiptera; Aphididae. The record is from the annotation of a GenBank genome assembly.
GCGGCAUAAUAUCGGCCGGGGACGAAUCGCCGUCGAAAAAUACCCAUCCGCGCGGGAAGCCGAACGCAUUUCCGGAGGGCCGUCGACCGCGCGGACACGAGCGUGAGUAUUUCGUACGGUUCUCGACGGUUUCGCGGCGCAGGGAUCGCGAUUCGCUGCCCAAUAACAGUCGGCGCUGUAGCAUUUCGCGGUUCCGUCAGCGAUCCGUUACACGAAACGACGAUUUUUAUUUCGGUUUGAUUGAAGAUUUAGCGGUUUCGAAGUAUCGUAUUGUUUUUUAUUUUUAAAUUUUAUCAAUUUGAAUUCAAGAUUUUCACGUAACACGUAACUGUAAUUGAACACUCGUUUUUUUUUUUUUCCCCCCGUAAUAUUAUCAUCGCACAAUAUUACAACGUAGAAAUGCCAAAAAUCCAAAUAUAUUACGAAUAGCUCGUUUCGACACGAAUGCGUUUCGCGCGUACGCGAGAGAGAGAGACAUUAUAUUUUAGGUAUUUUUAUUUAUUUUCUUUUCAUUUUUUUUCGUUUUUUUCAGCGCUUCUUAAAUGCGCA